UGCCAGCCUCCGCGGUCAUACUGAAGGUUCCCGCGUUAAUCGGAAUCACUGGGCGUAAAGCGCUCGUAGGUGGCUUUGUAAGUCAGAUGUGAAAGCCCACGGCUCAACCGGGGAAUUGCAUUUGAUACUGCAUCGCUAGAGUAUAGGAGAGGGAAGUGGAAUUUCUGGUGUAGGAGUGAAAUCCGUAGAGAUCAGAAGGAACACCGGUGGCGAAGGCGACUUCCUGGACUAUUACUGACGCUGAGGAGAGAAAGCGGGGGGGGCAAACAGGAUGAGAUA
Molecule: ribosomal RNA, 279 nt
Filed under: uncultured bacterium
Lineage: Bacteria
Description: partial 16S ribosomal RNA
Rfam family: Bacterial small subunit ribosomal RNA
Source: RNAcentral